This 417-nucleotide long non-coding RNA is filed under the name Lathyrus oleraceus (garden pea). Its description in RNAcentral is "Pisum sativum (pea) long non-coding RNA (PSAT_LNC006679)". Lineage: Eukaryota; Viridiplantae; Streptophyta; Magnoliopsida; Fabales; Fabaceae. The record is from RNAcentral.
UUAGCUACUUAAUGCAUUUGUUUAACAUAAUAUCCAUCUCAAGGUGACUAUGUUUACUACUCCAAAUCAACACUGGUAGAAUAAUUAAUACUUAUUUUAUACCUCGUUUAUUAAAAUUAAAUAUAUGUGUUAAACACUAAAACAAGAAAAUAUGCGAAUUUUUUAUGAAUAAUUAUAUUGACUUAAAUUAUAAUGUAUUGAUAUUUGAGUUUUUUAAAAUCCGAAAUUCUAAAAUAUAUUUUAUUGAUAUCAUAAUAUGUUGUUUAAAAAAAAUUUACAAUGAAAAAAAGAAAUAAAGAAAGUGACAGUUUUUAUGGACAAAUAUGUGUUAGAUUUAUGAAAAAAAACACAAAUUGUGAAAAUAACGUAUAUCUACUUUUGCUAGAUACCUAUAACCUAUUAGAUGGAUACAUGGNN